Molecule: long non-coding RNA, 487 nt
Organism: Ailuropoda melanoleuca (giant panda)
Lineage: Eukaryota; Metazoa; Chordata; Mammalia; Carnivora; Ursidae
Exons: 3
Source: RefSeq, a predicted model, not a curated record
CCCGCGAUCCGAGGGCUUGGAAGUUGCUAGGACCUGCCUUUGUGGGGACCAGGCCUGCGGUUCUGGUUUGCAGCUCUGGCACCACUCAGGGCCCUGCUCCCCUACUUGCCUGCUGCCACACGACUCAGCCUUGGCGCCGAACUAAAGCUGAUGGAAAAACCUAGCUAUCUGGAGCAUUGUCAAUCUCAUGGCAGAAAGAAAAGGACAAAGCAAAUGGUGCCCUGACUUCCAGAACUCAGCACAAAAGUGACCAACAUCACUUCUUUGAGUAAAGCAAGUCGUGUAGCCAUUCCUGAGGUCCACAGCCUGGGAAUAUACCUGCCUACAGCAAGGAGCACGACACAGGGAAGAAGCUGAAACGUUUAGUGCAUGAGGACACGUCUCCACCAGCUCCUCCAAGGAUGACUUCUUUCCCAGAGUGUGGAACCCAACACAAGGCUUGAACUCAUGGACCCUGAGACCAAGACCUGAGCUGAGAUCAAGAGUC